UCCUCGGUAGUAUAGUGGUUGGUAUCCGCGUCUGUCACCUGCGAGACCCGGGUUCAAUUUUCUGCGUUAGGAA
This is a non-coding RNA of Dictyocaulus viviparus (bovine lungworm), 73 nucleotides long. Lineage: Eukaryota; Metazoa; Nematoda; Chromadorea; Rhabditida; Metastrongylidae. The record is from the annotation of a GenBank genome assembly.